GCUCCCGCUGGCCGGCUUGGCGGCACUCCUCCGGGCGGCGGAAGAACCUCGGAGGCAGAAUCUCUCUCCCUGGAGCAAGAGCGCAGUUCAGCCCAGGCAGCGCAAGUCAAUUUGAAUUUUCUUAUCGCAAGAACAGAAUAUUUGUAAGGCGCGCACACGGCCGUGAUGACAUCAUGCAGUAACUCCUACCCUUCCUUCUCGCCACUAGUGCUGGGAAUUGUCCUUUCCUUCCAAGGAGGAAGAGGAAGGACGAGAGCAAGUGCCAAUCACAGCUGAGCACGGACGCUGUCCUCUUGACAGUGGCUUGGGGGUUAUCCUGAUGUCAGGGCUCUGACCCGCUGGGGAAGAAAGCCUCUGUUUCUUGCUUUACCACCUGUGAUUUGACCUUCCCUCCUUACCUGCUGUCCUAGGCACCUGCCUGCUUUGCCCAAGAGUAAAGCCUGGCUUGAGGAACAGCCUGCAAGAGCUAUUUUGUGUCAGCUGUACCGGGGGAUACCAGUUCCCCACUGGGAGAAACUGUGGAGCUGCUCAGGUAUCCACGUAUUUCACCAAAGUUUCCCCUCACCAACAUGUCUGCUGGCUUUAGGACAAAAAGUUGGGCUGGUUUUCCUCCUAGCGACUUGGAAAUUCUGUCGCAUUUUUCAUGUUUUUAAGUUGGUGGAGAAAACAUGGCAGGCGUUCUCCACACCAGUAGCGUCAACAGCAGUGAGCCCAGAGCACCGGAGAAAUGACUUGUUUCUUUCGCUACCAAAGAGCAUAGGAAGUGUGCAUGCGCCGUUUUGACAGCAAUCAAAAGGUUGGUAUCUGUUUUUCUUUGCAACGCAACGGCUUUUUUUUUGAAGCUACACAUUCAAGAAAAAGAAAUCUUACCUGCUAGCAAGGCUCUGCUGUAGGAAAGAUGAAAAAUGGGCAACAGAAACUUGUCGUAUUUAGGCGAAAGGAGAGACGUAUGACCAGCGAUGCACAAAGCAGAUUUUGAAGGCAGGCUGACCACUGAGCCUCAAAGGCGGCCAAACUGCUAUUGAAAGGAUGGUCAGGAGACCUGUCUGGAGAACUAUGGCUACCUGGAUGGAGUAGUCGUUAUGCCUUACACAUCUGUUUUAUUCUGACACACAACUUCCGUGUUCAUGGAAGAACUCUGUGUUCUGAUUUUCUGACAGCCCUCCUUUAUGUUCCUGGGAUAAAAAAAAAAAAAAGGAAAGCAGAAUUCAAGCAGUUUUCCGGGAAUCUAAUGAACUCGUAUUGGCCUAAACUGAGCAGGGGGCACCAUGCGCAUUUCCCACUGCAAACUGAGGAACGGGACUUGGGUAGCCAAUCCCACGGAUAAACUGAAACGCACUUUUGGAACAUCUUCCCUUCCUGUUUCCUAACCACUCGCCUGCGAUGGAGAGAGAGAAGUCUUUAAAAUCUUUGCUCUCUCGGGAGCCUUCACAGGCGGCUGUACAGUCAUCGUAGGCUUUGAAGAAAUCGGGAGGAGCCAGUUCCGUGCCCGAGAUGGACGUUCGCCAGUUGUCACCGUUGCACGCUCUCACGGCCCUGAGAAAGAGAUCCUGUAAAAUCGGCAGGAAUGAAAAGCAGCAGUAAGUGAUCUGUGGAAAGCUGUGUGCAAAAUCAAAUCCAGUAAAGGAUCUCUCUGCAUUUCCGGAUCCCGUCUGGAUAUAGAAGCUGUUAUCCAGUUCAUAUGAGGACAACAACUACAGGUGGCUGAUGGAUUUUACCAGGUAUUUCCGAGAGCGCAGAGGAGGUAAUUCCAUUUCAGCACAACAGAAGAGCCUGCUGGACCAAAGUAACAGCGGGAGCCUAAAGCACAGGUUUUGACAGGGCUUUUUAAUGGAGUCUUAACACCGCAUGUCCGAGUUCUUGUAAGUUGUGCCGCUACAGCACUCGUGCAUUUGAGUAACUCUGUGCACCUGCUUAGCUCCACUAGUUACCUGCAUGUAGUAGCUUUCAGGUAUGCCGCUGUCUGUGAUGUACUGUGACUCAUUUAUGGAACAGUGAAAAGCACGAGAGGUGAGAAUUCCUGAACGCAUCGAGGCGGCAGAACAGAGAUGACUGAGGAAGACAGCAAGAGGGAAAGGAGAGUGAGAACACGUAAGCAACUGAGAUCCUUGAAUCUCACAGAAGAGGAGGAGUAAGAGAACAGUUCCAAAAGACCAGACUCUGAAUAAAAAGCAUACCUCAUCAGGCUUUGUCUCCAAGUCUUUCGUAUGCUCCUGUUGUGGUUUAACCCCAGCCGGCAACUAAGCACCACGCAGCCGCUCGCUCACUCUCACUGCCCCCCCGGUGGGAGGGGGAAGAGCAUUGGAAGAGUAAAAGUGCGAAAAACCCGGGGGGUGAGAGGAAGACAGUUUAGUAGGUAAAGCAAAAGCCGCACGCGCAAGCAAAGCAAAGCAAAGCAAAGCAAGGAAUUGGUUCCCGACUUCCCAUGGGCAGGCAGGUGUUCAGGUGUUUUAUUUUUUUACUUCUGUGUGCAUGCAUUUCUAUUUUUUAUUUUAUAUAGAGACACACACGUAUUUUUAUAAACUACCUGGUAUAUAUACACCUAUUUGGGAAGAGUGAGAGAGAAAGAAAAAGUCUGAAGCACUUGUGAAAUGUUAAAACACAUGCCUAAGUAAACUCAGUGGCUACGAGAAAGCUCCCUCCAGAGGAGCAAGCGGCGGCACAGAAACAUCUACUCCCAGAACGCAAGAUGUAGCCAAAUUGCCCUGGGGAAGCCGCCUGAUAAGAGCUCAGAGCUGGACUGCCAUCUGCUAGGAAAGACUACACAAACAGCGGACACUAAAGGCAAACCCACCAAACUGCACCCCACAAACCUACUGCAAAGGGGAUUGAAAACCAGUGGAAAGGGAGAGGGAGGAGGGAUUUCUCCAGUUUCCCUCUCCCAUUCCUACCUGCCCGUUCCUUAAGUGUCUCCGAAACAGAGCAAUGGAGUCCCCAGACACAGCAGUGUUCAAUUCCAGCCAGCACUUAAAGCCAGAGACGCAAGUUCCUCCCUGAAGCGAUCCCAUGCCAUGAGGACAGCUGGCUUCCAAACACAACUCAUUGCUCAGGGAUAAAUACGUACCUAGUGCAAUCGCCAACUACUUGCGCUUAACGUUUUUUGCUCCAUCUCCUUUCUGCAGGAAGAACCUCGGAGGCAGAAUCUCUCUCCCUGGAGCAAGAGCGCAGUUCAGCCCAGGCAGCGCAAGUCAAUUUGAAUUUUCUUAUCGCAAGAACAGAAUAUUUGUAAGGCGCGCACACGGCCGUGAUGACAUCAUGCAGUAACUCCUACCCUUCCUUCUCGCCACUAGUGCUGGGAAUUGUCCUUUCCUUCCAAGGAGGAAGAGGAAGGACGAGAGCAAGUGCCAAUCACAGCUGAGCACGGACGCUGUCCUCUUGACAGUGGCUUGGGGGUUAUCCUGAUGUCAGGGCUCUGACCCGCUGGGGAAGAAAGCCUCUGUUUCUUGCUUUACCACCUGUGAUUUGACCUUCCCUCCUUACCUGCUGUCCUAGGCACCUGCCUGCUUUGCCCAAGAGUAAAGCCUGGCUUGAGGAACAGCCUGCAAGAGCUAUUUUGUGUCAGCUGUACCGGGGGAUACCAGUUCCCCACUGGGAGAAACUGUGGAGCUGCUCAGGUAUCCACGUAUUUCACCAAAGUUUCCCCUCACCAACAUGUCUGCUGGCUUUAGGACAAAAAGUUGGGCUGGUUUUCCUCCUAGCGACUUGGAAAUUCUGUCGCAUUUUUCGUGUUUUUAAGUUGGUGGAGAAAACAUGGCAGGCGUUCUCCACACCAGUAGCGUCAACAGCAGUGAGCCCAGAGCACCGGAGAAAUGACUUGUUGCUUUCGCUACCAAAGAGCAUAGGAAGUGUGCAUGCGCCGUUUUGACAGCAAUCAAAAGGUUGGUAUCUGUUUUUCUUUGCAACGCAACGGCUUUUUUUUUGAAGCUACACAUUCAAGAAAAAGAAAUCUUACCUGCUAGCAAGACUCUGCUGUAGGAAAGAUGAAAAAUGGGCAACAGAAACUUGUCGUAUUUAGGCGAAAGGAGAGACGUAUGACCAGCGAUGCACAAAGCAGAUUUUGAAGGCAGGCUGACCACUGAGCCUCAAAGGCGGCCAAACUGCUAUUGAAAGGAUGGUCAGGAGACCUGUCUGGAGAACUAUGGCUACCUGGAUGGAGUAGUCGUUAUGCCUUACACAUCUGUUUUAUUCUGACACACAACUUCCGUGUUCAUGGAAGAACUCUCUGUUCUGAUUUUCUGACAGCCCUCCUUUAUGUUCCUGGGAUAAAAAAAAAAAAAAAGGAAAGCAGAAUUCAAGCAGUUUUCCGGGAAUCUAAUGAACUCGUAUUGGCCUAAACUGAGCAGGGGGCACCAUGCGCAUUUCCCACUGCAAACUGAGGAACGGGACUUGGGUAGCCAAUCCCACGGAUAAACUGAAACGCACUUUUGGAACAUCUUCCCUUCCUGUUUCCUAACCACUCGCCUGCGAUGGAGAGAGAGAAGUCUUUAAAAUCUUUGCUCUCUCGGGAGCCUUCACAGGCGGCUGUACAGUCAUCGUAGGCUUUGAAGAAAUCGGGAGGAGCCAGUUCCGUGCCCGAGAUGGACGUUCGCCAGUUGUCACCGUUGCACGCUCUCACGGCCCUGAGAAAGAGAUCCUGUAAAAUCGGCAGGAAUGAAAAGCAGCAGUAAGUGAUCUGUGGAAAGCUGUGUGCAAAAUCAAAUCCAGUAAAGGAUCUCUCUGCAUUUCCGGAUCCCGUCUGGACAUAGAAGCUGUUAUCCAGUUCAUAUGAGGACAACAACUACAGGUGGCUGAUGGAUUUUACCAGGUAUUUCCGAGAGCGCAGAGGAGGUAAUUCCAUUUCAGCACAACAGAAGAGCCUGCUGGACCAAAGUAACAGCGGGAGCCUAAAGCACAGGUUUUGACAGGGCUUUUUAAUGGAGUCUUAACACCGCAUGUCCGAGUUCUUGUAAGUUGUGCCGCUACAGCACUCGUGCAUUUGAGUAACUCUGUGCACCUGCUUAGCUCCACUAGUUACCUGCAUGUAGUAGCUUUCAGGUAUGCCGCUGUCUGUGAUGUACUGUGACUCAUUUAUGGAACAGUGAAAAGCACGAGAGGUGAGAAUUCCUGAACGCAUCGAGGCGGCAGAACAGAGAUGACUGAGGAAGACAGCAAGAGGGAAAGGAGAGUGAGAACACGUAAGCAACUGAGAUCCUUGAAUCUCACAGAAGAGGAGGAGUAAGAGAACAGUUCCAAAAGACCAGACUCUGAAUAAAAAGCAUACCUCAUCAGGCUUUGUCUCCAAGUCUUUCGUAUGCUCCUGUUGUGGUUUAACCCCAGCCGGCAACUAAGCACCACGCAGCCGCUCGCUCACUCUCACUGCCCCCCCGGUGGGAGGGGGAAGAGCAUUGGAAGAGUAAAAGUGCGAAAAACCCGGGGGGUGAGAGGAAGACAGUUUAGUAGGUAAAGCAAAAGCCGCACGCGCAAGCAAAGCAAAGCAAAGCAAAGCAAGGAAUUGGUUCCCGACUUCCCAUGGGCAGGCAGGUGUUCAGGUGUUUUAUUUUUUUACUUCUGUGUGCAUGCAUUUCUAUUUUUUAUUUUAUAUAGAGACACACACGUAUUUUUAUAAACUACCUGGUAUAUAUACACCUAUUUGGGAAGAGUGAGAGAGAAAGAAAAAGUCUGAAGCACUUGUGAAAUGUUAAAACACAUGCCUAAGUAAACUCAGUGGCUACGAGAAAGCUCCCUCCAGAGGAGCAAGCGGCGGCACAGAAACAUCUACUCCCAGAACGCAAGAUGUAGCCAAAUUGCCCUGGGGAAGCCGCCUGAUAAGAGCUCAGAGCUGGACUGCCAUCUGCUAGGAAAGACUACACAAACAGCGGACACUAAAGGCAAACCCACCAAACUGCACCCCACAAACCUACUGCAAAGGGGAUUGAAAACCAGUGGAAAGGGAGAGGGAGGAGGGAUUUCUCCAGUUUCCCUCUCCCAUUCCUACCUGCCCGUUCCUUAAGUGUCUCCGAAACAGAGCAAUGGAGUCCCCAGACACAGCAGUGUUCAAUUCCAGCCAGCACUUAAAGCCAGAGACGCAAGUUCCUCCCUGAAGCGAUCCCAUGCCAUGAGGACAGCUGGCUUCCAAACACAACUCAUUGCUCAGGGAUAAAUACGUACCUAGUGCAAUCGCCAACUACUUGCGCUUAACGUUUUUUGCUCCAUCUCCUUUCUGCAGGAAGAACCUCGGAGGCAGAAUCUCUCUCCCUGGAGCAAGAGCGCAGUUCAGCCCAGGCAGCGCAAGUCAAUUUGAAUUUUCUUAUCUCAAGAACAGAAUAUUUGUAAGGCGCGCACACGGCCGUGAUGACAUCAUGCAGUAACUCCUACCCUUCCUUCUCGCCACUAGUGCUGGGAAUUGUCCUUUCCUUCCAAGGAGGAAGAGGAAGGACGAGAGCAAGUGCCAAUCACAGCUGAGCACGGACGCUGUCCUCUUGACAGUGGCUUGGGGGUUAUCCUGAUGUCAGGGCUCUGACCCGCUGGGGAAGAAAGCCUCUGUUUCUUGCUUUACCACCUGUGAUUUGACCUUCCCUCCUUACCUGCUGUCCUAGGCACCUGCCUGCUUUGCCCAAGAGUAAAGCCUGGCUUGAGGAACAGCCUGCAAGAGCUAUUUUGUGUCAGCUGUACCGGGGGAUACCAGUUCCCCACUGGGAGAAACUGUGGAGCUGCUCAGGUAUCCACGUAUUUCACCAAAGUUUCCCCUCACCAACAUGUCUGCUGGCUUUAGGACAAAAAGUUGGGCUGGUUUUCCUCCUAGCGACUUGGAAAUUCUGUCGCAUUUUUCGUGUUUUUAAGUUGGUGGAGAAAACAUGGCAGGCGUUCUCCACACCAGUAGCGUCAACAGCAGUGAGCCCAGAGCACC
Gymnogyps californianus (California condor) is the source of this 6886-nucleotide long non-coding RNA. RefSeq lists it as uncharacterized. The transcript has 4 exons. The record is from RefSeq and is a predicted model, not a curated record. Lineage: Eukaryota; Metazoa; Chordata; Aves; Accipitriformes; Cathartidae.